AAUGCUCCAAUGACUAGGAAUGUUUAAGAUUAAGGUUUUAGAGUUAAAGGUCUCACUAGCAUGACCCAUUCAUGUCUCCUAAAAUUAUUGCCCUAAUCUUUAGGGUUUAUCAUAAUCUUAGACAUAAUAAGUUGCAGCUAAUAUGAUGAAUCAGUACCUCAAAUAAUAAUAUCAUUUCAUGAGUUAGAAAAUUAUAAAGAAAAGUUCUAUUGCAACACACUUGUUAUUGGCUUAU
This 235-nucleotide long non-coding RNA is filed under the name Elaeis guineensis (African oil palm). RNAcentral's name for it is "long non-coding RNA (EGUI_LNC048006)". The record is from RNAcentral. Lineage: Eukaryota; Viridiplantae; Streptophyta; Magnoliopsida; Arecales; Arecaceae.